CUUGUGAAGAAAGUUACCCUAUCAUUACCGAACACCUCAAGUCAGUCACAUACCUGGCGCAAGGAAACUAAACAAGUCAUUAUGUAUUUUUAACAUGCAACCAGCUUUUCUGUAUGUUGAUCACAUGGAGUUGCCUUUCAAGUUUUUUAUCGCUAAACCAGAUAAACAAACAAGGAAAAUCUAUUUUCUCUUGCUUUGAUGAAUUACAUGUAAUUUUUCCAAGAGAAAUUGGUUUUUGUGCUUAAAAUUAAUAAUGAGUACCUUUGAACAUAAACCAUAUCAGGUUAAAACGUAGAUUCAUUAUGUAGCUAGCCUGAGGGCAAUUUAUUGUGCAGCAUAAUAAUGGUAGCUAAAUUUCAUUUCAUUUUUACCACAGGAUUAACAAACCCAGCUCGGAAUUGGUGACAGUAUUCAUUGGAGAAGGAAAAUGUGUCUAAAAUUUUCUAAAGAGUGUAAUUUCCUUGGAGCUGUGUAAUGAUGUUUCUAUUUGGAAUAUAUAUUCAAUUAUAAUAUGGAAUUUGAUUCUACUUGGAUCUAUAUAUAUAUCAGUAAUGUAAUAAUCUGACAAAAUGCUUUCAAGGAUUACAUUCUGAAGAUUUAAUGAGAUAGCACGGCCUUCAGGAAAUAUGAAGAAGAUACUUUCUGGAAUAUGAACAGGAUCAACAUUCUAGAAUGUGAAAAGGAUAUUUUCUGGGUUCAGUUACAAAUAAGAAGAAAAGGAAUCCAUGCAUUCAGCACAGAACAGAAUAUUAUGGAAUUUUGCAUACAAAGGGAGUUAACACCAUCACAAAAGUUAAUACAUAUAACAAGGAAAGCAGAGUUGUCUCCCAUGCCUUUAUUAUACAGCUUAUGUAAAUGGGAUGUCUUGAUGAGAAAUGAUGAAUGAAAUUUGUGUAUCAAAUGUGUUUUAUCAACAAAGAAUGGAAGAAAAAAAAUACUUACAGGGAAAAAACCAGGAGGCAUUGGCCCCCCUGGUGGCAUUCCAUCCUGUGGGGGCAUUUGUCCUAACGGACUCUGUGCUGCUGGAUUCUGAAAAGAUAUAAAACAAAACUGUGAGAACAUAAAACAGAGGGAAAUAUUCAAGAUGACAUAUAAUAUUUGAUAAAAGAAAUCAACCUGAUGUUGAAAAUGAUGUUAUUCAUUAAGGAAAUAAUGUGAUUGUUUUAAGCUGUUAUCUGAAAAUUAAAGAAUGAAAUGUGUAAAUUCUUGAUAAUGCCAUGAAAUGUACAUCUCAGGAAGGAGUAUUUUCAUACUGAAAGUAAAAAUCAUAGAAGGUGACAAAUUUAGCAAUACCCAGCAAU
This is a long non-coding RNA of Mytilus trossulus (common blue mussel), 1301 nucleotides long. RefSeq lists it as uncharacterized. The record is from RefSeq and is a predicted model, not a curated record. The transcript has 3 exons. NCBI's taxonomy places the organism in Eukaryota, Metazoa, Mollusca, Bivalvia, Mytilida, Mytilidae.